UGGGGAAUUUUGGACAAUGGGCGAAAGCCUGAUCCAGCAAUGCCGCGUGUGUGAAGAAGGCCUUCGGGUUGUAAAGCACUUUUGUCCGGAAAGAAAUCCUUGGCUCUAAUACAGUCGGGGGAUGACGGUACCGGAAGAAUAAGCACCGGCUAACUACGUGCCAGCAGCCGCGGUAAUACGUAGGGUGCAAGCGUUAAUCGGAAUUACUGGGCGUAAAGCGUGCGCAGGCGGUUUGCUAAGACCGAUGUGAAAUCCCGGGCCCGUCAACCUAGGGCACUGGCAAUUGGUGAUGCUGGGCAGGCUAGAGUAUGGCAGAGGGGGGUAGAAUUCCACGUGUAGCAGUGAAAUGCGUAGAGAUGUGGAGGAAUACCGAUGGCGAAGGCAGCCCCCUGGGCCAAUACUGACGCUCAUGCACGAAAGCGUGGGGAGCAAACAGGAUUAGAUACCCUGGUAGUCCACGCCCUAAACGAUGUCAACUAGUUGUUGGGGAUUC
This 493-nucleotide ribosomal RNA is filed under the name uncultured bacterium. Its description in RNAcentral is "partial 16S ribosomal RNA". It matches the Rfam family "Bacterial small subunit ribosomal RNA", at positions 355 to 832 of the family's 1533-position model. The record is from RNAcentral.